Molecule: long non-coding RNA, 6241 nt
Filed under: Xyrichtys novacula (pearly razorfish)
Lineage: Eukaryota; Metazoa; Chordata; Actinopteri; Labriformes; Labridae
Source: RNAcentral
AUAAGUGUGUUAUUGAGCUGGUAGCUUUGGGGUACAAGUUCAGAUCCUUGCCUAGGUUCAAUGAUUAUAUAUAUUGAAUGACGCUAUCAGAUUAGGAGGAUAUGACUGAUCGUUUAUGUUCCUUGAUUUUCUGUUUUCUUCCAAAGCCGUUAAAUUCACUUUAGUAAGACUUUUUAAGAGGAUCAUAUUUGCAGCUCUAUCUCCAGGAAGCAUCACAUGCUUACAGCCUCACCUUGUAUUUAACUGUUUAUUUAAAUGAUAAUGAAACUUACCAGAAAAAAAAACUCCAAUAAUCCACAGAAAGAAAAACAAUGACUCAGAUUCAUCGCGUGUGACUUUAAAGAGACGACUGCAGAGUUAUAUUUCAUGUCUCAAACUGCUGCUGCAGGGGCAGAUUUAUUCACUGAUUUAUUCAUUUAUGCUACAUCUGUGUGUUAAAACACUCAUCUUACACACCUACGGGACAAAUCAACCCAGAAAAUAGGUACUAAUUGUUCUGCACGAGUGCCUUAGGAGUAAGGAGAGACUUUCUCGGGACGAUAUUUAAGUGUAUUUUUGCACCUUUUCUAUAACAGGGAUAAUGCGGUCGGACCACAUGCCUUUUAAGCACGCAGCCAUGAGUGAUGGCCUCUUUCUUUGCUACUCAGAUUGUCUAAUCUGAAGGACUACUGAGGGUUCGAGGAGUUAGAGUUAACUUUUUUUAAUGCGUUCUCUUGCUGCUGCAGAGUUCUGUCUGCAGACUUUUGGAAACACACAAUGAAAAGAAAGUAAAACGGCUCAAAAACAGGUCGGUGUCAGGAGCUGAAGUGAUAAUUAGAGAACCUCAUUUACUGUUUUUGUUGUUUCAGAGCCAAUAAAAACACCAUCUGAGGAGUUUUGGACAGUUUCCCUGUUGUUUUACUCGAGUAUACAUAAAUACAGCCUCUGCACAUACAAGCUGUCAGACUCCUUGUAGAUGUUAAACUUCAAAAGCCAUUAAAAAGUGCAAGUCUUAUCAUGCUUCCAGUAUCAGGAAUGAAAGGAGAUGAGAAAGGGUGGGAACUCCAGGACUACGCCCCGCAUACACACCCUGAAAUUAUCCAUCUCAUUCAUGCAGGCGGAGGACAAAGAUGUCGUACAUGUUCAAACCGUAAACGUGUUCAAUGCAAAGAUGAAGCACUGACAGAGUAAAGUGUCCUGCAUGUGUGCAUUUAAAGCAUAUUUAACCUCAGACCACGCUCCUGCAGAGUUUAGGUCAGAGGUCAAGUUUAGCGCUCCAUCAUUUCCUGACACCAGCGCUGCAAACUAGGACACGGCAAAGUGCAGCUUUUAAAAAAGAAGAAGAGCGGCGCAGGAAUGCUGUUUUGGCCAUAGGUGUGUUAUCCUGCGAGGUGAUGUGCAGGCAAAGGCGUGUUCGUGAAUGUCGUUCGCCACGGGGAAUAACAUGAUGGCAACUCAAGGAGGGACUUUUUUUUCUCCUGAGAGAAAAUCUCUGAUGAAUCAUUCGCUGGUUUGAAGCAUUAAGACUGACUCGAUACAAAAACGGCAGAAACAGUGAGUGGAGCUGCUGCGUCCCCCCGGUCAUACCCCCGAAAUACGGAUCAAGAUUCUUUCACACCCACUCAUUUACACCAAGUCUGCAAUUACGCUCGCUCUAAAUGGAAAACAGCUGUCCAUGCCGUCAUAAAUCACAUACAGCAAACAAACACUGAUUCAUACUCUCAGUGCUGCUUCUCCGUCUUGUUCUCGGAGUCCUACAUGCUCAUACACAUAACUCACAAUCUCACACACUCGCAGACGAACGUGAAAUUCCUCAGGAGCUGCAGAGUUUUAUUGGUGACAAAGAAGAGAGAGAGUGUCCUUACGCUGAAGGGUUAGAAAUGGUAAACUACAGUAUGUGAUUUCUGCUGUGCGUUGAUGUGAUUAUGUAAGCUUCUUCAGACGAGGUCAGAAUGAAAUCCUGGCUGAUUGCAAAGUGUGGGUGAGCCAAGUCAAACUUGUAAAGUGUGAGACAUGAUCAGUCUUGACUCAAACGCAGUCAGUUCAACAUUUCUGUCAACUUUUUUCUGUCUCUCCUCCAAUCCUCCAAUCCUCGCUCUUCUUUCUUUGCAGGGAGAGGAGGCCGCUGUUGGAGAAGAUCUUCUCCCAGUCAGAAAGUUGGCGGUUCGAUCCCACUUCUGUACUCGCAUCCUCGAGUAAAACAGUGAACUUGAAAUCAGCAACUAUUGUUAGCGCUUUGAGUGGUCAGCGGCAUAUCAGCACGAAACCAUUGUGGUUGAAAAAAAAAACACAAGACAACAGCCUGAGGCUAAUCAGGCAGCUCUGUGGGGCUCCAUGUUGGCAUAGCAACAGAUUGAGCAAAAAGCUAACAUGCCGCAAAAGCUUUAAUUAUACCGGCGAAACAUUUGAUAUGUGCGGAAAACCUGAAGAGACAUGGAUGAAGAAAAAAAAGUUGUCUCUGGAGUUAUUGGUCUGUGUAUUACUCUCAUGUCAGUUCAAUAAAAAUAUUGAAAUGUACGCACCUGUGGGAAAGGUUCACUGAAUUCUAUUUUGAACUCAUUUUCUGUCCACCUUGUCCCUUUGCAUGCAAAAAAUGUCCUCAUUCAGGACGUCCCUUGACCGUAGGAAUUCUUUCAACUCUUCCUCCGUGAGUCGUGUUUUUUAAGAAAACAGUGCCUGCGCUGUAAAACUGAUUUAAUAUCUUUUUAUCUGAUGCCAAUCUAAUAAAAGGUGCGACUAACCUUUCCCACAGGUGCGUGCGUUUCAUAGUUUGGAUUGGCGCAAUACGGAAAAAAUACACUGAUCUGUAAUCUUUGUACUUAUAAGAGCAUGCAAAAGAGAAAAGCCUGUUUUAUUGUUUCUCCUUCAUGUCCCUGAAGAUAUGUCCUGACAGGUGUGUGCAAAAAUACCUGGAUGGUUUUGAUGAAUAAUAACGCAGCAUGCAUACCGAGUACAGCAGAAAGGACCGUUGGGUAAUUUUUCCAUAAUAAAUAAAAAACUGAUAAUUAAAAUUCACAUAUCAACAGGGUCACAAAGUUGAACAUCAGCUCAUUAAGUUUGGCAAUGGUAGCUGUUUCCUUCAGAUACUGUUUUUUUUUAAAUACUCUUACAGAAUAAUACUGUAAUUGAUGUAUCAGCAUUAGGGUCAAAGUUCAGGCUAACGUUCUGUUAAAUUUGCAUGUCUCAUCCAGGGUAGACAAAUGAUCUGCUCUGAACGGUUAUCAGGGUGUUUAGUCGACUAUCUAUUUCAGCCUUUAUUUUAAAGAUGGCUGACAAAGUUCAUCAAUUAAAUAUCAAACUGUUUCAGCUCUUUGACAAGUGUCUCUUUUCUUCUAGUUCUGUUUUUAACUUCACUUUGCAUCACCAUCAUUAUCUGAUUGGCUAGAUUGGUUAACUGUUGACUUCAGUGCAGAAAAAACAAUAUUGGUCAACAGAACAUAAGCGUCAGACAAGCGCAGUAGUGAUGAAAUCUGCAAAAUCAGUCAUUUUAAAAGAUGUAGACAGAAGUAUAGGGAUUGUUUAUGUAAUCAAGUUCUUACUAGCUAAUUAGCCUUUUAUUGAAGAUGAUGAAAUGUCAUCAUGGAGGCAGGUAUUCAGUCAUAAACUAAAUGAAACUAAAAGGAUAUUUGCAUGUGAUGACAGGAGGAUUGAGGGCAGAGCUUGUGUGCGUCUCAUAGUUCACACUCCUCGUUUGAUUCUGAUGUCUGAGAUGGUUUCAUACGUGACGACUCGGUGAAUUUCUCAGCUGUCUGUGUGAGAUUUUUCUCUGCGCCUGCUGCUUUAAAGCUGCUGUAAAGAGUCAGAUUAGCUGUGGGCAAGAAAAGACUGCUGUGAUUAUUAGAAAUCUAGUGUCAGUGAAGAAUUCAUGUGUUCCACUGUAGCCCCUCCCCAUGGUAAAUGACAUUUCUAAACAGUCUAGGUUAAAUUAUGUGGACAACAGUUAAUAGAAAUACCACAUGAAAAAUUAUAUUGCGCAAAAUUCAAGAUCAUAAAAUAUCUUGGAAUAAAACAAGUCAGACACCAAAUUUUUGCGUUUUUUGUCCAACUUUGAUCUUUCUUGACUUGGAAGCUCAUUUUUCCGCCACAUGCUCCAUCAGGAGGUCUUCUGAUUCGGUAUGAAACCAGAGUGGGCGUGUCAAGUCCCACCUAGGCCUGCCUACAACUACACUGCUACUUUUAUUAACAUUAUUAUCACUUCAAAAUAUACUUAAGUCAUGACUUAAAUCCAUUAUUUUAUGAUACUUAUUUUUAAAUGAUCUGUUUAGACUAAAUUUGAAUGUGUUUUUUUUUGGAAAUGCCUAUUUUUACUUGGUGGUUUUGCUACUUUAGCUUUACCUUUUCACAUUCAUACACAUUAAUGCAUGCAUUAUUAAGUCGUCACAAGAGCAAUUGGCAGAGCUACGCCCAUUAUCAUGUAUCUUAGUAUGGCUGCACUGAUGUAGUACCGCUUACUAUGAUUGCACUCAUAUUACCUAUCAGGUGAACGUCUCUCAGGUUGUAUUUAUGGAGGCGUGACUCCUCACUAGUCCAUACAACGACACUUUUUAAUGAAUAAGCGUCAAAUUCAGGGUGAUGAAUUACACUCUAAUCCAGAACACGCUGCAAAGACACCUCUGUUAUUUUAAUACUACUCCUGGAAUAAAACAUAAAGCUCAGUCUACAAUAAACAUUAAGCGCAAACACAACUGGGAUGUGUCUGCAUAAAACAUAAAUCAGUUAUCAGUCGGUGUUGUUCCUCGACGUUUAUUUUCCAUUUAUCCUAUUUGAAGUGUUUUCAAACAGCGAUCAUCGAUUUCUGAGCUCUUGUCAUUUAAGAACACCUGUCAGACCGGUUUUUCCUGUGAGUCACACCCUUUGGCUGGAGGCGAGGGUUUAAGAAGUGUGUGUAUACAUGUGUGUGUAUGUGUGUGUGUGUGUGUGUUUUCUUCACAGAGGAGAUGGUGAAUGGGAAGGGCAAGUUGGGUCAAGGUUGGAGUUUCAAAAGAUGCACCUCUGCUGGGUUUUGUUUAAUUCUUCCACUGAGAUGCAUCAACAGCAGCAGUUUGUCUCUGUCAGAAAAUUAAUACUGAAUCUGACACACAGCCAGCUGAGAAGAACGACAGAGAGUGUGGUCUUUAUCUAGUUGCAUGGCUUCAGCGGAAAAGUAUCAGUCCCAACUCCAAGGACAUAUUUCUCUUCUCCCAUGCUCAUUAAAAAGAAACAGAUAUUAUCCUGUAAGCAUUCACACCAAGUGAUUAUCAAUAAAUGAUGAUUCACAUACUUAUAUAAUGAUAAAAUACAUGUGAUAGCAUACACAAACAAUUUUUCUUUCAGUCUCCGAGCUCUUUCACAUUUAAAUCUGUUAUUUCUGAGGGCAGUUAGUGAUGCAGGCUGCAGAUGGUACACGAGUAAAGAAAGAGAAGCAAAAACUGCAUCGAUAAGCAUCUUGCAAAAGCAAACAAAUUUUGCAAAUUGUCCACAGAGGAGGUUUUGACAUUUUCAAAAUAGAAUAAAAUUCAUCCUGGUGCUUUUUUAUGAUAUCCAAAAGCAAACAAGGCCACCAGGAUCAAGAUCGGACAUUUGCAUUUGGUUGUUUUUAAUACCCGAAACUGGCAUGAGGGGGUAGGUGUCAAGCUGAGAAGCUCAAGAAACAGCUGUUUGUAUAAUUUCCAGAUGAGAUAUUCAUACCAAAUGAUAGAUUUGUGCUUCAAAAGUGAGCAGGAUGAGAAUUUUUCAAUAGACAUAACUUAAAUAUGUAGUAGACCAAGAUAAAGUUUAUUUUUUGCAUGUAUGAGUGAUGCUUUCUGUCUGAUCAAAUAUAUAUUAUUGUAAAAAUAAAAUAAAGUAAAAACAUUUCAGUGCUGCUGUGCAAAGUGCACUGAGCAUUCAAAGCGCAGGUAGUUGUGGAGCAAAACAUUGUCGCAAAAAAGGACAUAUCCUUCAGGAGCAGAGAAAAGAAAGAGGACAAAGGGGAAGAAGAGAAAAAAACGCCAAGAUAAAGGUAUGUUUGCAUGUCAUGGACUGUUAAUCAAAGAGAUUUGUGGAGGCGUGUGAAUGAUCAACAAUCAAUAUUAUUGGCAGAAAUAGAGGGCCCCAAAAUCUAAUUUUGCUUAGGGCCCCAUUGAGGGUUGGGCUGGCUCUGAAUGUCCCCAUGAUACCCUGAAUAAACAACACUUUUCCAUGCUAUCAACCAGGUCCCCACUGUGUUAAAUGUCCUCAUAUUGCAUGGUGUCCUCAGACUCCACACUAGUUUGCAUGUAGUCCUCAUAAAGAUAGAAGAACA